UAUAAGUAUUGUACAAAAUGAUGUAGAGGACAAUUAUAAGGAGUUGGAAAACUGAAAGUAACUGCAACCAUGAUUGGUGGAGCAGUUACAUCCUUAUAACAAGGGUUUCGACACCCUUUCUUGGGUAAGUUACAAGGUACGAUCAUAGUGUGAAUGCUUGUCCUAUUGAGCGCAAGAGUUCCAAUAUGUUUCCAAGAGAAGGGAAGGUCUUAAUCACAUCUCAGAUAUCAUGGCUUCAUCUUCAAGAAAUUUCCAGUAUGUCCUUGAUCGUUCUCCUUCAUAGAGGGCGACGGCAAUGUCAUAAUUGCCGACUGAGGCACAUCAUCGUCUUCGGUGAGAAUCUUCGUCGGAUAGCGUGGUGGCUUCAUUUUCGUCCGCAGCUUCGGUGGAGGCAACGGCUCAUUGAACACAUUCAUGUCGUCAAAGCUUGUGGAUGAACGAACCAAGCGCAAGCGUUUCCCUGGCAUGUUGGUGUAAUUUACGUUUGGGCUUAGAGAGAAAAAUAUAAUAGGGUUUGGCUUUUUAGUCUUUAGAGAAGAUUGCUCUGGGGAGUUUGGUGUUGGAAAUGGGUUGUAUUGGGAGGUAUAUAUAAUCACAGUUGGUUCUUCAACUGUGAUUACAUAUACAUUUACAUGUGUUGUUAUAUAUUUACAGUGUAAGUUUCGUGUUAUAUCGGUUGCGAAUUUGGCAGGUUUUAUUUAACUAAGAGUUGUGAUCCCUA
Molecule: long non-coding RNA, 721 nt
Organism: Pyrus x bretschneideri (Chinese white pear)
Lineage: Eukaryota; Viridiplantae; Streptophyta; Magnoliopsida; Rosales; Rosaceae
Exons: 2
Source: RefSeq, a predicted model, not a curated record